GGUGUCAUAGAUUCAGAGGAAAUCGAUCGAGAGAUCGGGUGGGUGUCAUAGAGAGCGAUAGACACAGACAAAAAGAGACAGAGAGAGAGGUUAUUUGCUCUGCAACGCAAGCCCGAAGGAAUCAUACAUAAACCGGCAAGACAAACAGAUCGAAAUUCAUGAAGGUCAAAUUAACAACAAGAAAACCCAUCGCUUCAGCUUUUGGGUUUUGGUUUAUUUUCUGGACACAGAGAAAGAUAGAGCGAAGUAAACAGGGGAAGAAGGGGGAGAAGAAGAGGCCCUCCCUUCAAAAUGUCCAUCAGUAGUGUGGAGUUUGCCAUCGGAGGCUUAAUCGUGGAUACCAAGGUGUUCUAUGGCCAAGAAAGGUCUUUUGCUAUGGAUUUCUGUGUGCUUAGCUUUGCUAAUUGAAGAAGAUGAAUGGGAAAAUGAGCUCUUCUUCAGCUUCAGAAGGACGAUACUGGAUCAGUACGUCUGUGCUUAAAGGAAUGAGCUUUUUUUGGUGUUUGAGGGAAGUAGGAUUUGGCAAGUCUGAUAUAAAGAGAAUAAAGGUGAGGCUAGGGACGAUUAAGAAGAAGAGGAACGCUGUGCUGAAGUAUCUGAAGAAUAAUGUUGCUCAUCUUCUCAAGAUUGGCCUUGAUAUUAAUGUAUAUGGAGGGGUGGAGCUGGGAGCAGCACAGCAGUUCAAAAAGUCAUGCCUGCUGCUCUAGCAGAUAUGACAUAAAGCAUACUUUCAACAAAUUGAAGAUGUUCAGAAAUAUUCAAAGGCUUUAACGGACAUGAAAAGGGAGUUCUUUCCAAACAAAAGACAUGAAUGAGCUGUUAGAGUUCCACAAGAAUUAGAUUCCAUUCUUGAACAUUUGAUUGGUUGAGACAUAGGUUUUAUCAAGGUUUGAAGGAAUCACUACAAAAAAGUUAAGAACUAUGAGGACAACAGCAGCACUCCACUCAUAAUUAAAUGCAAUGAUCACAGAACUACACAUUUGGAAAAUAGAGGCUCCCCUUUUGUCUGCUCAUUAAGAAGACUGAGCGUUAUUUCACCAAGAUCAGAAGGAAAAAUAGGUAAACCGGAGCAAACAAAAGAUGAAGAAAUUAAGAAAUUUCAGUCAAAAGACCCACCGACUUCAAUAUCCUCAUCCGGGUAAGAGAAGUUGCAUGGAGCUGGCGCUAAAGAGUAGUUCAACCUUAUGUUGUUGCAGGAAAUAAGAGAAGUACAGACCAGUGGAGAGGCGUAGGCUACUGGAACCCAAAAUUAUAAGAAGCAAUUCGAAGGAUGCGCUAAAAUCUCAAAAAUGCUCUGGAGGACAUUUCAGUAUGCGUUUAAGUUUGAGAGGAGAGCGAAGAGUUGAGAGGAAUAAUAGAGACCCCAGUGCUCACCACGAUAUCAACUAUUGAAGCUUCAACGUGCUAGAACUAGAAGGAAUGAGGAUGACCCGUAUGAGAAUAUGGAUGCCAAAAUCAACUGGGCUUUAGAGCAGGCCUUCAAUUUGAAGCUUGAUUUCAGUGAGACUGGGGAUGAUUUUGUUGUUUUUCGAAGACUGAUGCCGGAAUGAUGCUCAGGUGGAGUUUAGAGAGAAGUACAAGAAGGAACAUCCCAGCAACAAAUCGGGGAGAGCUCCCUACCCGGCCAAGGCAGAGAAGAGAGGUUGAAUAGAACAACAUGGAAGUUUAUAACAAGAAACGAGUGUUUCUGUUUUAAUUGUUAAUCUCUGGGAAAUAUUGGUAUGAUCACUGAACACUGUACAGUGGAAUCUGUUAAAGGGUUGAAAGUUGUGUCACUCUGUUGUGACUAUUUCAGUCACCAACAACAAAAGGCUACCUCCAAACUGACCCUCUCCUUACAACACAGCAAGAGUAGUAGAGGAAAUGAACUGCUUGAAGAUGGUUGUAGGUCAUGUGCUAUCUCUCACUAUUCUUGCAUUUUUUUGCAGUUUUUGUGCCCGUGAGGCAUAAGCUCCUCCACUGGUUGCUGCUUCGGAUUGUGAGAGAAUAAUUACCGUGCUUCGGGUGGUUUUGGGUUUAUAGUUAUCUCUCAAGGAAUGAGCUUUUCCUUUGUAAAGGUCUGAUUCUCAAUUUCUAACAAUGCAAGUAAUUUGAAUAUGUGUGUAUUUUUGAAUGAACCCUACA
Long non-coding RNA from Rosa rugosa (rugosa rose), 2124 nucleotides. RefSeq lists it as uncharacterized. The transcript has 13 exons. Lineage: Eukaryota; Viridiplantae; Streptophyta; Magnoliopsida; Rosales; Rosaceae. The record is from RefSeq and is a predicted model, not a curated record.